CAGUCGCCGCGGUAAUGCGUAGGGUGCGAGCGUUAAUCGGAAUUACUGGGCGUAAAGCGUGCGCAGGCGGUUGUGUAAGACAGGUGUGAAAUCCCCGGGCUUAACCUGGGAACUGCGCUUGUGACUGCACAGCUAGAGUAUGGCAGAGGGGGGUGGAAUUCCACGUGUAGCAGUGAAAUGCGUAGAGAUGUGGAGGAACGCCGAUGGCGAAGGCAGCCCCCUGGGCCAAUACUGACGCUCAUGCACGAAAGCGUGGGGAGCAAACAGGAUUAGAUACCCCAGUAGUCCCUGUCUCUUAUAC
This 301-nucleotide ribosomal RNA is filed under the name uncultured bacterium. RNAcentral describes it as "partial 16S ribosomal RNA". It matches the Rfam family "Bacterial small subunit ribosomal RNA", at positions 509 to 807 of the family's 1533-position model. The record is from RNAcentral.